This 493-nucleotide ribosomal RNA is filed under the name uncultured bacterium. Its description in RNAcentral is "bacterial SSU rRNA". It matches the Rfam family "Bacterial small subunit ribosomal RNA", at positions 29 to 517 of the family's 1533-position model. The record is from RNAcentral.
AACGAACGCUGGCGGCGCGCCUAAUACAUGCAAGUCGAGCGAGAAGACGUAGCAAUACGUUUGUAAAGCGGCGAACGGGUGAGGAAUACAUGGGUAACCUACCCUCGAGUGGGGAAUAACUAGCCGAAAGGUUAGCUAAUACCGCGUACGCUCCUUGGACUUCGGUUCAGGGAGGAAAGCGAUACCGCGGGUAUCGCGCUCUUGGAUGGGCUCAUGUCCUAUCAGCUUGUUGGUGAGGUAACGGCUCACCAAGGCUUCGACGGGUAGCUGGUCUGAGAGGACGAUCAGCCACACUGGCACUGCGACACGGGCCAGACUCCUACGGAGGCAGCAGUAAGGAAUAUUGCGCAAUGGGCGAAAGCCUGACGCAGCGACGCCGCGUGGGGGAUGAAGGUCUUCGGAUUGUAAACCCCUUUCGGGAGGGAAGAUGGAACGAGCAUCGUUCGGACGGUACCUCCAGAAGCAGCCACGGCUAACUUCGUGCCAGCAGCCG